AUGUUAGCUUUAAAGAUUGUCUUUGAACAACGUAAGCUCCCCUACGCCUUUCCUAAGGAGAAAAGUAGGGUUACAAGCAUUUUAAACAAACAGACAGACAAACAAACAAACAAAUACAGUAUAAGCACCACAACGUUUUUGUCUUCUUUAUUUUUAUUUUUAAAUUUCAUUUUGUUACAGACCAACUCGACAACCCUUUCUAAAACUACGACUCUGGGGAAGUUAAUUUACCUGAUUACUCCAAGUUGGCCACCGGCUCGGUCAGGGUCUCUGGCUUGGAAAGCUCUUUCUCAUCAUCUGCAACCUUUAUUUUUUUUCCCUACAGAGGGUUUGGCUCUGAUUUACGCCCUCCUGGCUGCCAAGCCAAUACUCCUCCACCGCUCUCUCACUUCACUGCCUGAAAAUGUCCACAUGAAUAAAGUUCUGCCCAGUAAGAAAAACUGGGGUGUGUGUGUGUGUGCUACAUUUUGGACGGACAAUCCCCAAAUCUCGCUGGCUGGCCCAUCAACGAUUCAUCCUCCCUCUUAUCCUUUCGCUCCGCUUAUCAUUUGGCGCUUCAUCUCCUGCUAAGGCAAGAAGAAAGCACACAGCCUUGAACAUGGAUACACAAAUGUGGAAGGAUCUGAAGGUUGUCCCAAUUAAAAUCUUUCCCUGGCUUCUAGAUGUCCUGCGCGCGCCACGGAGGCCACAGACACCCUGUUAGCUUUGAACAGACCUGGGGAUGGUAGGCUGAAGGGGGUGCCACUUUUCGCGAAGCCUUUCCCUUUCUUUAAAAUUUCGGAGCCGAGCGAUGUGAAGGAUAUUUUUAGGAGCCACUGGGCCAAAACCGAUUGACUUCCAGUGAAGCAUCACUGAGGGCUGUUGCCAACAGAGAAGAUUUUUUUAAAAAAUCCACAACAGUGCUCUGAAUGACAGCGGAGAUUUCGAAGCGUCAAACUCCCCGUCAUAAAAUACUUUCGAAACCAAGUGCGGCUUAUAAAACAGUAUCAAACUACUUCAGAUACGGAGCGGAAAUAAACUCUGGGCGGCCAGUCCUGAUGGUUCUUGC
RNAcentral lists this long non-coding RNA (1048 nucleotides) under Pogona vitticeps (central bearded dragon). Its description in RNAcentral is "lncRNA (ENSPVIG00000022881.1)". The record is from RNAcentral. Lineage: Eukaryota; Metazoa; Chordata; Lepidosauria; Squamata; Agamidae.